This is a long non-coding RNA of Daphnia carinata, 1671 nucleotides long. RefSeq lists it as uncharacterized. Lineage: Eukaryota; Metazoa; Arthropoda; Branchiopoda; Diplostraca; Daphniidae. The record is from RefSeq and is a predicted model, not a curated record. The transcript has 9 exons.
GUUUCUCGAAGGAUUGUCCAAAAGGGGACCGUGGCGGUGGUAGAAGUCGUACCUGCCAUGAGGCAAAAAAAAACAAGAAAACAUUUUUAGUGUCCAUUUUUAACGAAGAAGAGGGCCAUGUAGCAAGGGAUUUUCCUCAAGGAGGAUGCAAUGGGUUCGUUGUUUUACCCCUAAUGUCAUGAAGCUGGUUGCACCUCGAAAGGCUGUCCGAAUCUAUUCAGUGAAUUGAUGGGAGAUGUAGAGCCGCGUAAGAAAUACAUUCCGGAAGCUGUGACAUGCGAUGAAAAGGAAUUCUUUAAGGGCAUCGUCUGUGGGAAACGCUUUAACAGUUUUGAUAAAGUCGUGCUCCAAGUUACAGGAAAAGAUGUAUCUCAAUACAUAACAUCUUUCGAAGAAGCUGCGCCAACUACUACUUCAAAACAUAAAAAAUUCUGGCUGCAUAAAACCAACACGUGUUCAGAAAGCUUCAGUUGCAGGUGGCAUACUUGGUACCGGUUUUGAACAUAUUGUUAGAACAAGGUGUUGCUGGUGCGUCUCAUGCCAUGGUUCAAAAGCCAGAAGUUGUAAUUGUCGCACCCACUGGUGAAUGGGCCAUUCAAAUUUAACGGAAGGCGUGUAAAUUAUCCUACAAUUCGGUUUUCAAGUCUGAUUAUAUAUGGAGGAACUGUCACGAGCCAUCAAAUGUCAAAUCUUCAAGCUGGGGAAUCCGUCGUGCUUUUAUGUUUUCGGCGACAUUCCCAGAUGAAGUACAAGCGCUGGCUGCGACUUACAUGGAAGACUACGUAUUCGUUACAACAGGCAUUGUCGGUGGCACCAAUCGAGAUGUUGAAAAGCUGUUUUUUCAGUGCUCGAAAAGAGAUAAGAGAGUAAGCUGAUCGAAGUUUUACAAGAUCUCGGUGAUGCCAAGACUAUCGUUUUUGAUAACAGCAAAAAGACGCCGGAUUUCAUCGCUGCAUUUUUCUGCCAUAACAACUUACAAUCUACCAGCAUCCAUGGUGAUCGUCUUCUGAGUCAGCGUGAGCAAGCGACUUGUGACUUAAAAAUGAUAUUGCCGGCGUCAACGAUGUCGUAAAUUAUGACUUACCAACUGAUAUUGACGAGUGUGUUCAUCGUGUUGGUCGAACGGGCCGCGUGGGAAAUGUCUGAAAAUCAAAUAAGGUUGUUUGACGAAGAAAGAGAUGGCCCUAACGCUGGAAAGUUUGUCUGUUUGUUAACUAAGUCCAACGGUGAUGUACCGCCUUUCAUGCAAGCGAUAGUCCCAGGCGUGCGUGGAAGGGGUUACGACUUUAGCGCCCCUUCGACCCAAGGGGGUUUUGCUAGUCGAGAUAUGCGCCGAUUCGGCGAUAAACCUGGAUUUGCUGCCUUGCCCACUGAAGUUGAAGAGAGUUGGCAUUAACUCAAUGUAAUUAACCAAAAUUCGUAUCCAAGAACAUCUUGGAAUUUGCAAUGUCUGUUUGAAAAUUUGAUUACGUGGUUAUUUUGCCAACCUAUUUACCUGAAUAGAUAAAAUAUUCAUUUUGUUUAAGGAAACAGGAAAUGGGAAUAUUUUAUAUUAUUCUUCUCUCUUUAGUGGGUUAUUUUUUUUUUUUAAUUUAACGUUUAACUACAUAGCUUUCAAAAUCUAUAACUAACCAUGUAGAGACAGUUAUGGCAUAUUGGUAGCAUGCUUUC